UGUGUGUAGUCUUGGCGGUACCAGUUUGUUUCCCUUUCUGGUGCCGCCC
RNAcentral lists this non-coding RNA (49 nucleotides) under Klebsiella planticola. The record is from RNAcentral. Lineage: Bacteria; Pseudomonadati; Pseudomonadota; Gammaproteobacteria; Enterobacterales; Enterobacteriaceae.